Molecule: non-coding RNA, 23 nt
Filed under: Arabidopsis thaliana (thale cress)
Lineage: Eukaryota; Viridiplantae; Streptophyta; Magnoliopsida; Brassicales; Brassicaceae
Source: RNAcentral
GACGCUCUCUAAACCGGUUGAUG